This 1796-nucleotide ribosomal RNA is filed under the name Poduridae environmental sample. RNAcentral describes it as "SSU rRNA". It matches the Rfam family "Eukaryotic small subunit ribosomal RNA". The record is from RNAcentral. Lineage: Eukaryota; Metazoa; Arthropoda; Collembola; Poduromorpha; Poduridae.
CUGGUUGAUCCUGCCAGUAGUCAUAUGCUUGUCUCAAAGAUUAAGCCAUGCAUGUCUAAGUUCAAGCGAAAAUAAAGUGAAACCGCGAAUGGCUCAUUACAUCAGUUAUGGUUCCUUAGAUCGCACUUACUACUUGGAUAACUGUGGUAAUUCUAGAGCUGAUACAUGCACUGAGCUCCAACCCUCGUGGAAGGAGCGCUUUUAUUAGAUCAAAGCCAAUCGGGCCUUCGGGUCCGUACCGUUGGUGACUCUGAAUAACUUUGCUGAUCGCAUGGUCUCGUACCGGCGACGUAUCUUUCAAGUGUCUGCCUUAUCAACUGUCGAUGGUAGGUUAUGCGCCUACCAUGGUUGUAACGGGUAACGGGGAAUCAGGGUUCGAUUCCGGAGAGGGAGCCUGAGAAACGGCUACCACAUCCAAGGAAGGCAGCAGGCGCGCAAAUUACCCACUCCCGGCACGGGGAGGUAGUGACGAAAAAUAACGAUACGGAACUCACAUGAGGCUCCGUAAUCGGAAUGAGUACACUUUAAAUCCUUUAACGAGGAUCUAUUGGAGGGCAAGUCUGGUGCCAGCAGCCGCGGUAAUUCCAGCUCCAAUAGCGUAUAUUAAAGUUGUUGCGGUUAAAAAGCUCGUAGUUGGAUCUCGGUUUCGGGCGGGUGGUGCGCCUUGCGGUGUUUACUGUCUGCCCGGACGAUUUUGUUGGUUCGUUCGUGGUUCUCUUAACCGAGUGCCACGGGUGGCCAGCACGUUUACUUUGAAAAAAUUGGAGUGCUCAAAGCAGGCGCUACAGCCUGAACAUUAGUGCAUGGAAUAAUGGAAUAGGACCUCGGUUCUAUUUCGUUGGCUUUCGGAGUCGAGGUAAUGAUUAAUAGGAACAGACGGGGGCAUUCGUACUGCGACGUUAGAGGUGAAAUUCUUGGAUCGUCGCAAGACGAACUACUGCGAAAGCAUUUGCCAAGAAUGUUUUCAUUAAUCAAGAACGAAAGUUAGAGGUUCGAAGGCGAUCAGAUACCGCCCUAGUUCUAACCAUAAACGAUGCCGACCGGCGAUCCGCCGUCGUUAAUUGAAUGACUCGGCGGGCAGCCUCCGGGAAACCAGAGUGUUUGGGUUCCGGGGGAAGUAUGGUUGCAAAGCUGAAACUUAAAGGAAUUGACGGAAGGGCACCACCAGGAGUGGAGCCUGCGGCUUAAUUUGACUCAACACGGGAAAUCUCACCAGGCCCGGACACCGGAAGGAUUGACAGAUUGAGAGCUCUUUCUUGAUUCGGUGGGUGGUGGUGCAUGGCCGUUCUUAGUUGGUGGAGCGAUUUGUCUGGUUAAUUCCGAUAACGAACGAGACUCUGGCCUACUAACUAGAUGUAGGAUCCCUUUGUGGGUCCGUCACUGCUUCUUAGAGGGACGGGCGGCUUUUAGCCGCACGAGAAUGAGCAAUAACAGGUCUGUGAUGCCCUUAGAUGUUCUGGGCUGCACGCGCGCUACACUGAAGGAAUCAGCGUGUGUUCCCUACCCGAAAGGGUUGGGAAACCCGUUGAACCUCCUUCGUGAUGGGGAUUGGGGAUUGCAAUUAUUCCCCAUGAACGAGGAAUUCCCAGUAGGCGCGAGUCAUAAGCUUGCGUCGAUUACGUCCCUGCCCUUCGUACACACCGCCCGUCGCUACUACCGAUCGAGUGAUUUAGUGAGGACUUCGGACUGGUCUUCGUGGUGGCUCUCGAGUCAUGACGGAGUUCCGGAAAGAUGCCCAAACUUGAUCACUUAGAGGAAGUAAAAGUCGUAACAAGGUUUCCGUAGGUGAACCUGCG